GGUCCUGUCUAGCUCAACUGGGAAGAGCAUGGCAUUAAACACUGCCAGGGCUAGGGGUUCAAGUCCCUGUGGGGCUCA
Merluccius polli (Benguela hake) is the source of this 78-nucleotide non-coding RNA. The record is from the annotation of a GenBank genome assembly. NCBI's taxonomy places the organism in Eukaryota, Metazoa, Chordata, Actinopteri, Gadiformes, Merlucciidae.